GAUGAACGCUAGCUAUAGGCUUAACACAUGCAAGUCGAGGGGAAACGGCAUUAUGUGCUUGCACAUUUUGGACGUCGACCGGCGCACGGGUGAGUAUCGCGUAUCCAACCUGCCCUUUACUUGGGUAUACCCCGUUGAAAGACGGCCUAAUACCCGAUGUAAUUCAUUGAUGGCAUCAGAUAUGAAUAAAAGAUUUAUCGGUAAAGGAUGGGGAUGCGUCUGAUUAGCUUGUUGGUGAGGUAACGGCUCACCAAGGCGACGAUCAGUAGGGGUUCUGAGAGGAAGGUCCCCCACAUUGGAACUGAGACACGGUCCAAACUCCUACGGGAGGCAGCAGUGAGGAAUAUUGGUCAAUGGGCGCAAGCCUGAACCAGCCAAGUAGCGUGCAGGAAGACGGCCCUAUGGGUUGUAAACUGCUUUUAUACGAGAAUAAUUUGAUGCACGUGUGCGUUAUUGCAUGUAUCGUAUGAAUAAGGACCGGCUAAUUCCGUG
RNAcentral lists this ribosomal RNA (492 nucleotides) under uncultured bacterium. Its description in RNAcentral is "partial 16S ribosomal RNA". It matches the Rfam family "Bacterial small subunit ribosomal RNA", at positions 28 to 507 of the family's 1533-position model. The record is from RNAcentral.